UGGGGAAUAUUGCACAAUGGGCGCAAGCCUGAUGCAGCCAUGCCGCGUGUAUGAAGAAGGCCUUCGGGUUGUAAAGUACUUUCAGCGGGGAGGAAGGGAGUAAAGUUAAUACCUUUGCUCAUUGACGUUACCCGCAGAAGAAGCACCGGCUAACUCCGUGCCAGCAGCCGCGGUAAUACGGAGGGUGCAAGCGUUAAUCGGAAUUAUUGGGCGUAAAGGGUACGCAGGCGGUUUAAUAAGUCGAAUGUUAAAGAUCGGGGCUCAACCCCGCAAAGCAAUGGAAACUGAUAAACUUGAGUAGUGGAGAGGAAAGUGGAAUUCCUAGUGUAGUGGUGAAAUACGUAGAUAUUAGGAGGAAUACCAGUAGCGAAGGCGACUUUCUGGACACAAACUGACGCUGAGGUACGAAAGCGUGGGGAGCAAACAGG
Molecule: ribosomal RNA, 428 nt
Filed under: Chloroflexota bacterium
Lineage: Bacteria; Bacillati; Chloroflexota
Description: Chloroflexi bacterium partial 16S ribosomal RNA
Rfam family: Bacterial small subunit ribosomal RNA
Source: RNAcentral